CGAAGGAUAGCUUAACUAAAGCAUUUCGCUUACACCGAAAAAAUAUUUGUGAAACUCAAAUUCCCUCGA
RNAcentral lists this transfer RNA (69 nucleotides) under Batrachyla leptopus (gray wood frog). Its description in RNAcentral is "tRNA-Val". It matches the Rfam family "tRNA". Rfam says of the family: Transfer RNA (tRNA) molecules are approximately 80 nucleotides in length. Their secondary structure includes four short double-helical elements and three loops (D, anti-codon, and T loops). The record is from RNAcentral. Lineage: Eukaryota; Metazoa; Chordata; Amphibia; Anura; Batrachylidae.